AUGCAGUUCUCACCAAAUGUUAUCCAUCACCCUAACCCCUGCAUGCUUCUCCUCCCCAAAAACCUCAUCUCGUACCACCGACCUUCCAGGGUCUCCUCCACCCAAUCCAAACACAGUGGAAUUUACGGGUACCACAGCUACUGUCUUCCAGAAACUUCUACAGCAGGUCACAGGGGUGAGAAAAAGAAUUCAGGUGGUUUGCAAAGAGGUCAAAAGAUAAACAUAUGGUGCUGCACGGUUGAGAAGUGGUUUGAAGGGAUGGUGGAGCGCUCAGCAGGACUGGAACCUACAGGUGGGAGACGGGAAGACGUGGUACCUGUCUGCCAUCCCUUCCACUUACAUAAUAUUAUUCGCUCUUAUUUAGCUGAAGUUUUUCUCCUCGAAGAAAAACGGACACAUGCUUUGAGACCUUACUUGAGUCCAUCCUUGCGCCCAGAGCAAAAUUCAAAAGUCUCAGCAAAUAUUUUGUGAUGAACUUGAAGCGAUUACAUGAUUUACAAUACUUUCCUUUAUGCAGCUGACAGUGAUUUAUUCUUUUGUAUAGCAGGGUAAUUUUUACUGUAUAAAUUCAGGAUACGGGCUUCAAUGAAGGGUACUGCAGCAGGAGCAAGGAUCUGAACCCGCUUCCUUUGAGCAGAAGGCACCUGCUACCUCCCGAAUGUGUGAAGACAUUCAACUGAAGUAUGUUGAACGACAGGAUCUCACACUGUCAUGAGACCUGUUGAUGUGUGAGAUGUUGGGAAAGUGAAGGGGCAGCUGCUAGUGUAGUGCAGGUUGCAGGUUCAAAUCCCACCUCCAGCCGUAGUUACCCCUGAGCAAGGUCUUUACCCUAAAUUACGCCAGUAAAAUUACCUAGCUGUGUAAAUGGGCAUGUAAUUGUAAGUUGCCCUGGAGAAAAGUGUCAGAUAAAUGUAACAUAAUAUAGAAAUUAGUCAUUUAUAUAUUAGUAAUAUAGAAUAUCUCAUAAAAUGGGUGGGGCCAAAUGCUCUGUUGGAUCCCUAAUUCUCAAGGCACAGGAGGGCUGCCAUAAUAUCAGGUCAUAUGCUGUAACCUGAUUUUCAACAAGCAGAAUGAGUUUCCACAGAGACGUUAACACGCCGAGGUCAAUGCAGCUCAACGUCUGUGCCGAGAUGACGGAGGCGGGGAGGGGUCUCAACCGGGAGAAGAACAUCUGUUUCAGCUGCAUGUUAAGGGCUCUUUCGCUUUCUCACUAUGGCUAUAAAUACCAUGCUCGGCCUCCUGGGACGACCCCCACCAGAGAGGGGCCCGGCGCACAUGGGGAGUGCAGGCGUAUGGCAACAUGUCCCUGCUUCUGAUUGGAUGCAGAAACCACCCCCAGGAGCCAAUCAGAAAGCCUGAAACGCACACGAACUGGCAAACGAGGAAUUCCACUGGGGAGGUGUUUCAUUUUUCCGCACAGCCUUCGGAUGAUCUGCCUGUUCAGGAUGCGAAGGGGCGAGAGCAAAACCCCUCAGCCAAUCCCUGCAUCCGUUGUUAUGUAAUAAGGGGGCGGGGCUUGGCUUUGAUUGGCAGCAGCUCAAUGCUGUCCAGCUGCCUUCUGCAGAGUCACUCGCGUCCACGAAACACGAUGCAAAAAACGGGUCGAGAUCACGAGCUCCGGGUGGGGGUGGGGGGUUUGACCGUUCAUACCAGACAGGCGGCAGGGGGGUGGUGUCUUUUUCAGCACUUCUGAUUUGUUGAUUUACUGAUGAAGUUGUGGUCCGUCUGUCCCCUGCGAUCAGGACAGCUGUGAGGGGUGUGUGGUGUAAACAGGGGGAUCGUUCCCUCCACAUGGGGUAUACAGGGGUCACGCUGGGUAUUGAACUUCUGUUUUCUGUAGGUAUUCUUGACAUAGGGGACCAAAGGUGUUUUUUCUUUUCUUCUUUCCCCCCUUAAUUUACUUGUUUUGGUUUAAGCUGAAAUUUAUUACGGUUUGACAGACUGGCUUCAUAAAGGAACGAGCUCCUGAUAAAAUAAUUCUCUUCAAAUCCCUUGUUUGUAGUUCACUCAAUGUAGCCCAGAGUAAAUUUACCAAAUGUUGAGUCAUAAUGUUUGUAAAGGAAUAUUUUAGAAAAAAUAAUAAUAAAUCCUCAACAAACAGCCCUGUGCCA
Molecule: long non-coding RNA, 2111 nt
Filed under: Scleropages formosus (Asian bonytongue)
Lineage: Eukaryota; Metazoa; Chordata; Actinopteri; Osteoglossiformes; Osteoglossidae
Description: lncRNA (ENSSFOG00015024889.1)
Source: RNAcentral